RNAcentral lists this ribosomal RNA (253 nucleotides) under uncultured bacterium. Its description in RNAcentral is "partial 16S ribosomal RNA". It matches the Rfam family "Bacterial small subunit ribosomal RNA", at positions 524 to 776 of the family's 1533-position model. The record is from RNAcentral.
UACGUAGGUGGCAAGCGAUACUCGGAAUCACUAGGCGUAAAGCGCAGGUAGGCGGUUUAGUAAGUCUUUUGUGAAAGCUCCCGGCUCAACUGGGAGAGGUCAAAGGAAACUACUAGGCUAGAGUUUGGUAGGGGAUACUGGAAUUCCUGGUGUAGCGGUGAAAUGCGUAGAUAUCAGGAGGAAUACCUAUGGCGAAAGCAGGUAUCUGGGCCACAACUGACGCUGAGCUGCGAAAGCUAGGGGAGCAAACAGG